UACGAAGGGGGCUAGCGUUGCUCGGAAUCACUGGGCGUAAAGGGUGCGUAGGCGGGUCUUUAAGUCAGGGGUGAAAUCCUGGAGCUCAACUCCAGAACUGGCCUUUUGAUACUGAAGAUCUUGAGUUCGGGAGAGGUGAGUGGAACUGCGAGUGUAGAGGUGAAAUUCGUAGAUAUUCGCAAGAACACCAGUGGCGAAAGGCGGCUCACUGGCCCGAUACUGACGCUGAGGCACGAAAGCGUGGGGAGCAA
Molecule: ribosomal RNA, 251 nt
Filed under: uncultured bacterium
Lineage: Bacteria
Description: partial 16S ribosomal RNA
Rfam family: Bacterial small subunit ribosomal RNA
Source: RNAcentral